GGUGACCUGCGGAGGGAUCAUUACUGAGUUUACGCUCUAUAACCCUUUGUGAACAUACCUAUAACUGUUGCUUCGGCGGGUAGGGUCUCCGCGACCCUCCCGGCCUCCCGCCUCCGGGCGGGUCGGCGCCCGCCGGAGGAUAACCAAACUCUGAUUUAACGACGUUUCUUCUGAGUGGUACAAGCAAAUAAUCAAAACUUUUAACAACGGAUCUCUUGGUUCUGGCAUCGAUGAAGAACGCAGCGAAAUGCGAUAAGUAAUGUGAAUUGCAGAAUUCAGUGAAUCAUCGAAUCUUUGAACGCACAUUGCGCCCGCCAGCAUUCUGGCGGGCAUGCCUGUUCGAGCGUCAUUUCAACCCUCAAGCUCUGCUUGGUGUUGGGGCCCUACAGCUGAUGUAGGCCCUCAAAGGUAGUGGCGGACCCUCCCGGAGCCUCCUUUGCGUAGUAACUUUACGUCUCGCACUGGGAUCCGGAGGGACUCUUGCCGUAAAACCCCCCAAUUUUCCAAAGGUUGACCUCGGAUCAGGUAGGAAUACCCGCUGAACUUAAGCAUAU
Molecule: ribosomal RNA, 554 nt
Filed under: Colletotrichum fructicola
Lineage: Eukaryota; Fungi; Ascomycota; Sordariomycetes; Glomerellales; Glomerellaceae
Description: eukaryotic LSU rRNA
Rfam family: 5.8S ribosomal RNA (bases 196-349)
Source: RNAcentral